Molecule: ribosomal RNA, 459 nt
Filed under: uncultured bacterium
Lineage: Bacteria
Description: partial 16S ribosomal RNA
Rfam family: Bacterial small subunit ribosomal RNA
Source: RNAcentral
CCUACGGGUGGCUGCAGUGAGGAAUAUUGGUCAAUGGGCUCACGCCUGAACCAGCCAAGUCGCGUGAGGGAAGACUGUCCUAUGGAUUGUAAACCUCUUUUGUCAGGGAGCAACAGACGCCACGCGUGGCGUUCCGAGAGUACCCGAAAAAAAAGCAUCGGCUAACUCCGUGCCAGCAGCCGCGGUAAUACGGAGGAUGCGAGCGUUAUCCGGAUUUAUUGGGGUUAAAGGGUGAGCAGGCGGAAGGUCACGUCCGCGGGAAAAUUGAGAGGCUCAACCUCUGCGCGCCGUUGAAACGGGUUUUCGUGAGUGAGUGAGAAGUAUGCGGAAUGCGUGGUGUAGCGGUGAAAUGCAUAGAUAUCACGCAGAACUCCGAUUGCGAAGGCAGCAUACCGGCGCUCAACUGACGCUCAUGCACGAAAGUGUGGGUAUCGAACAGGAUUAGAGACCCUGGUAGUC